GUAGGUGGCAAGCGUUGUCCGGAAUUAUUGGGCGUAAAGCGCGCGCAGGCGGUUCUUUAGGUCUGAUGUGAAAGCCCACGGCUCAACCGUGGAGGGUCAUUGGAAACUGGAGAACUUGAGUACAGAGGAGGAAAGCGGAAUUCCACGUGUAGCGGUGAAAUGCGUAGAGAUGUGGAGGAACACCAGUGGCGAAGGCGGCUUUCUGGUCUGUAACUGACGCUGAGGCGCGAAAGCGUGGGGAGCAAGCAGGAUUAGAUACCCUGGUAGUCCACGCCGUAAACGAUGAGUGCUAAGUGUUAGGGGGUUUCCGCCCCCCUUAGUGCUGCAGCUAACGCAUUAAGCACUGCGCCUGGGAGUACGGCCGCAAGGCUG
RNAcentral lists this ribosomal RNA (372 nucleotides) under uncultured organism. RNAcentral's name for it is "partial 16S ribosomal RNA". It matches the Rfam family "Bacterial small subunit ribosomal RNA", at positions 527 to 896 of the family's 1533-position model. The record is from RNAcentral.